RNAcentral lists this ribosomal RNA (351 nucleotides) under uncultured bacterium. Its description in RNAcentral is "bacterial SSU rRNA". It matches the Rfam family "Bacterial small subunit ribosomal RNA", at positions 29 to 406 of the family's 1533-position model. The record is from RNAcentral.
AACGAACGCUGGCGGCAUGCCUAACACAUGCAAGUCGAACGAGACCUUCGGGUCUAGUGGCGCACGGGUGCGUAACGCGUGGGAAUCUGCCCUUUGCUUCGGAAUAACAGUUAGAAAUGACUGCUAAUACCGGAUGAUGUCUUCGGACCAAAGAUUUAUCGGCAAAGGAUGAGCCCGCGUAGGAUUAGGUAGUUGGUGGGGUAAAGGCCUACCAAGCCGACGAUCCUUAGCUGGUCUGAGAGGAUGAUCAGCCACACUGGGACUGAGACACGGCCCAGACUCCUACGGGAGGGCAGCAGUGGGGAAUAUUGGACAAUGGGCGGCAGCCUGAUCCAGCAAUGCCGCGUGAGU